CUGAGGGCAGUCCCUGGCCAUGCCUUUAUCCUUCUGGCUUUCCAAGGGCCAUCUAACCCCUCCUCUGUCCCAGGCCUGCCUGGUGACUGCCUCCUGGUCCACGCGCUGGAGGAGGAGGCCCUCCGGUGGCUGCAGGACGUCUCGAUGGCAUUCCGCAGCGCCAUGUGCCCGCACCCUGAAGGCCUGACCUCCCUGGUGGAGUCUGGCUUGAGUAGCCUGGAGCCCCGCCCUGAGGCGACGAUCCAGUGCAAAAUCCUCCGCCUGGUGUGCCGUACGCGGGGCCAGCUGGACGGGCUGCUAGCCCCGUGCACCGCGGAAGCCAUCUUUGGCUCGCUGCUCUUCUGUGAGAACCACCAUGACCGCUUCAUCCACAGCAUGGCAAGCGGGCGCAGAUGCCGCGGCUCAGCGCAGGGAAGGCGUCAGAAGGGGGGGGAGCGAGAGCAGCUCAGCCACCUCCUUGUCCCAUUUGCCCCUGCCUAAGGGCAGGCUUGGAACCUCCCCCCACCCCGCCCCUGCUGUCCAGAGGGUCUCUGCUUUGUGGAGCCAACAUCGGGAGCAGGCAACCCUCCGUGGCCUGAUCUUCCCUUUCAGCUUGACUCCUGCUCAGGGCUGACCUCUGCACUCUCUCCGCUGACACCAUUCACUGGUGGCGCUGGUUCCCUGGCAAGGCAGGUGGCCUGAUGCACCAGGGCCCUGAUAGCCAAGUCCUUGGCCCACCAUCGCCUGUGGGAGCCUCCUUUGCCCGGACACCAUCGCCGCCUUCCUUCUUGAGCAGACUGACCAGCUGGACAGCAAGACAGGCAUGGGCAUCUCGUUGUAUUCGUCUACACCUUCCCGCUCGUCCAAGAUCGGCUCAGCCUCGGCCGCAUCCAGCUGGGGAAGAAUGAGAGAUACUAUGGGGGGGGGAGGAACCUGCUCCUCUGGCCCCACGUGCAGCAGCGCCCGCUCCCUGCCCAGCCCCUCCCAUUCCCUCCAAAGCUGACUAUCAGGCAGCAAGGAUGGCCCUUCCUGAGCACCAGCCGGGAAGAGCGCUCUCCUGCUGCCGCUGCUGCUCUUGCGCUCAUGCCUGGCUUGCACCUGGUUGGCUACUGUGAGAAGAGGAUGGUGGUCUAGAGGGGCCCCUCUGUCCUGGUCCAGCUGCUGAAGGGCUCUUGGGGAGAGCACCCUCCUUACCCCCUCGGUAAUGUGUCACUUACACACUUCAUCUCUCGCUCCGUGAAGAUGCGGCUGAGCAGGCACAUCCGGAGUGGCACGGUGAGGAUGAGGAUGAAGGGGAAGGCCAGCGAGGCGACGGUCGACAUGACUGCCCAGAGGACGGCCAGGCAGCCCAGCUGCAAGAGGGUGAAGAGGUGCAUGCGCAGGGUCCGCACCUGCAGAGGAAGCAGCGGCAGCAGCAUUGGCCUCCUCCCUGCGCUCCUCUUCCUGCCCCCACUCCCCACAGGCGAGGGCACCGUUGUCCCUUUCGUACUAUCCACCCCUUGCAGACAUUGUGGCUUUUUAAAAGGACAGCUAAAUGGGGCACACUCGAGGUUUAGAAAACCAUGCACAGCGUGGGGAAAGCAGCCAAGAGGGUUUCCUUCCUCUGGAGACCAGAGUUGUCCAAGUGAACCUGAUGAGCACGAGAUUCAGGCUAGGUGGAAAGGAAGAAUUUCUUCACCGAAAGCAAAACUAAGUGAACUGGAUACCCUGAAAAGUGGCAACUGAAAGCUUGAAAAGGGAGCAGGAAAGCUCAUGGAGGAGGAGAGAAGGCACUGUGGCUCUGCUGGCCAAGACCUCAAUGGAGCAUCCACCUUCCAAAGUGGCAGCGAGGGAACACCGCCGUUAGGCUCUACUAUGGAGUUACAAAAGAGCAAGUCAGCUUUCUGGUUCCAGCCACACUUUUUAUCCUGCUCAGUGUUAAGCAAAUAAAAAAAAGGGAGGGGGAUAAAAUGA
Molecule: long non-coding RNA, 1932 nt
Organism: Rhineura floridana
Lineage: Eukaryota; Metazoa; Chordata; Lepidosauria; Squamata; Rhineuridae
Exons: 3
Source: RefSeq, a predicted model, not a curated record